UGAACAAAAGCAAGGAUUCUGCUUUGAUGCAAAAUCAUCAAAGAAAAAUGAAUGUCAUUUCUGAAGGUGGUUUUAAAAUCUGAAUGUCUUUUGAACUCCUAACCUUACAGCAUGGAUGUAACUGAUGACAUUGUUGAAAUGUUCCAAGUGCAUCUUAUAACAGGAGUCAUUUUAUUGCUCUGCUGUGUUGGAAGUUCUCCUUGUUAACAUUUCUCGGUCACUUACCUUGCUUCCUUUUAAGUAAUUUUUAACUUUUUCUUGUAUAUAUGUCAGGCGGAAAACAUCAAAUUUCACUGGAAACAGAAAGCUCCUUGAAGUUAACUUACCAGAAAGUUCUCGAAAAUUUAUUACUUGCAUUCGAAAGUAUUUGUUGUUCUAUUUGAAAUUAUUGGAGGAAACUGGAGACAUUGGUACCCUGGAUCGUGCUUUUAUAUCUCUUCGGGCAGACAAAAGGUUUUCAUUGUGCAUUGAAGAUCUUGUACCAGUAGCCCUGGGGAGGUUCAUCAAGGCCCUUGUAUCAUCCAUGCAUCAAGCUGGCUCUGGUGCCUUGAGCAGCUCUGAGCAUCAAUUGGAGAAGAUGUUCACAUUAUUCAUGGAACAGGGAAACUUAUGGCCAGAAAUAUUCACCUUGCCUGAGAUCAGAAGCCCAGAAAUAUCAGAAGGAAGCUUAUAUGCCUAUCUCCACAGAUAUAUUGCAUCACUGGAGAGAAAUGGCAAGCUUGAGACACUUGAAGCAAUAAAUGAGAAGAUUCGGAAGCGUUUUAAGAAUCCCAAGUUGUCAAAUAGUAACUGUGCAAAAGUUUGCAGGCAUGCUUCUGUUGCUUGGUGUCGUUCUCUUGUAAUUAGUUUAGCAUUGAUCACUCCAUUACGACCUGGAACUCCAAUAGAGAUGCAGACCCUUAACCCAUCAGAUAGCAUUCUGGAAACUAGUCAUUUGCUUUGUGUUGAUCUGCAAACAAAUGAGUUUUGGAGUUCAGCAUUUGAGGAUUCUACCCUUUUUGAAAAUCUUGAAACAAAAUGGAAUCCAGUGUUGGAUAAAAUUAAGAACAUCAUUAUAGAAAGAGCUUCAGAUGAAAAUUUUGAGAUAGCCAAUUCCUUGCUUAGAAGCUCUUAUAAUUUCUUCCGUGAGAGUUCCUGUGUAAUGCUUCCAUCUGGUCUCAACCUUUAUUUGGUUCCAACUCGCCUACCAAUGGAAACACAACUUCAGCCUGUCUUAAAUGCGGUUGAAAUUCUAGAUCUGAGCAUUCCAAGGAAGCUCUUGUUAUGGGCUUACACUCUAUUGCAUGGCCGUUAUGCAAGCAUCUCUAUGGUUCUGAAACAUUGUGAAGAAAAUAUCAAGGUAACUUAAAUCUAAAGUGAAGUAUUCUCUGGCAUGCAAAAACAUUAAUAAUUGCUUUCUUGAAAAACAAACAAUAGCUGUGGACAGCUUUCUUGAGAAACAAAGAAUAGCUGUUGGAUCAUGACUUCUUUUUUUAACCCCUUUUUUUAUAUGUCCCUUGACCAAUUGAAGGCCCAUUGAUAGUGCAGAAAUAUACUGUUCAUUCUCUAAGUUUUCCAGUAGGCAUUUUUGCAUGAAAACACGAGGAACAACUAACUUGUUUUUCUUGUAAAGAGGAAGGAAACCAUUCAUCUGCUUAUCCUUUAUUGACUGAAAAUUGAAGUUUGAUUGUUGUAUCAUGUUAUUGUGAUUGUGUUUUACAGUCGAAGAUGAAAAAGGGAGCUGCACCCUCAUCCACAUCAUUAAAUACUAUCCUGCCUACUACCACCGCAGUUCAUACAGGUUAUUUUUGCCAUACAGGUUAUUUUUGCCAUCCUGUAAAAUUAUUAAUUUUCUUGUCUGAUUUUAGAAUCAUUCAGAAUUGGUUCUAUCAAGCUUUAGUAUUUCCUAAGAAUCAUUCAGAAUUGGUUUUAUCCGGUUUUAAUAUUUCCCAAUUGUGCAUUCACCUUUCUUAUUGAGACAUUCUUGGGUUUCUAGUCAUCGCUGCAAUGUUUUCCUCAGCUAGAUGUGAACCUACACAGUAAAUUUUCAUGCUUGCACAUAUUGAUGGCUGUAUUUUCAUGUGGUUGUAGGUGGUGUGAAAGAUGGUGCAAAUCAUGGUGGCGGCAUUGAACCAGGGACCGUUUUGGUUACUGGUCCAAUGACAUCUGUCCCAUUGUCCGAGAAUGAGAAAACACAAUGCAUGAAUCCAUCACCACCUUCUGGUGAGAACCAAAAGAGCUUAUUAGCUACUUCUCAGCUAAAUCCUAUUAAUACCACCCUUGUUGAAAGGAGUUCCACAGUGCAUGGAGGUGAGGAUCAAUAUAGGGGCUAACUUCGUUUUUGGCUAAAAAUUGAACAAAUUUGUCGUAGAAGAUGUCUUUUAGGUGUCAGUUUUUGUAAAAGGAAAGGUAAUUGUAUGAACCAAUUAGAUACAUAAUUGAAUUUGUAUGUAUGUAACAAGUUUUGUAAAUAGGCAGAGAACGAUUCAAGCUAUAAAUUUUCUCCUAUUUAGUUAUUAUUUAUGAUUGAAUCAUUUAUGGAUUGUUAUUUAUUUGUUUUGUUAUAUAGGAAAUUUUAUUUAAAAAUAAGGCAUUGUUUAUUUCGCGAAAAAUACUUAUAUAUGGAUAAUAUUUUUCAUAGAAAAUGUUUUCUAAAAGAAUAUA
RNAcentral lists this unclassified non-coding RNA (2643 nucleotides) under Hevea brasiliensis (rubber tree). The record is from RNAcentral. Lineage: Eukaryota; Viridiplantae; Streptophyta; Magnoliopsida; Malpighiales; Euphorbiaceae.